RNAcentral lists this ribosomal RNA (177 nucleotides) under Triticum aestivum (bread wheat). Its description in RNAcentral is "partial small subunit ribosomal RNA". The record is from RNAcentral. Lineage: Eukaryota; Viridiplantae; Streptophyta; Magnoliopsida; Poales; Poaceae.
AUGUUCGUGGUGCUGUCGUGCAUCACCGCCGGCAUGGGCGGCGCCAUCUUCGGCUACGACAUCGGGAUCGCGGGCGGGGUGUCGUCCAUGGAGCCGUUCCUGCGCAAGUUCUUCCCGGAGGUGUACCGUCGGAUGAAGGGCGACUCUCAUGUCAGCAACUACUGCAAGUUCGACAGC